UGCGUAGGCGGUUUGGUAAGUCUUAUGUGAAAUCUAUGGGCUCAACUCAUAGUCUGCAUGAGAAACUGCCGGGCUUGAGUAUGGGAGAGGUGAGUGGAAUUCCUGGUGUAGCGGUGAAAUGCGUAGAUAUCAGGAGGAACACCUGUGGCGAAAGCGGCUCACUGGACCAUAACUGACGCUGAUGCACGAAAGCUAGGGGAGCAAACAGGAUUAGAUACCCUGGUAGUCCUAGCCCUAAACGAUGACUGCUUGGUGUGACGGGUACCCAAUCCCGCCGUGCCGUAGCUAACGCGUUAAGCAGUCCGCCUGGGGAGUACGGUCGCAAGGCUGAA
This 332-nucleotide ribosomal RNA is filed under the name uncultured bacterium. RNAcentral's name for it is "bacterial SSU rRNA". It matches the Rfam family "Bacterial small subunit ribosomal RNA", at positions 568 to 898 of the family's 1533-position model. The record is from RNAcentral.